AGCUGAUGGGCUGGCUAGGUAGCUAUCCCCCUUCUUUCUUGUCCUUCAUUCAUCCCUUCCAAAGCUGUACACUUUGUCACAGAGGAUACUCUUCCCCAAACAGAGGAGGACAGUCUCCAUUCAAGGGUAUAUGAAGAGCUGUCCUCCCCUGCUAGAACCUCGCAACAACGUCUCAGUUUCAUUAAUAGCAAUGAACCUAUAAAAAUUAUCCCCCAAGUCCUCGGUAAGUUUCAGGAAUAUUAUGG
RNAcentral lists this small nuclear RNA (245 nucleotides) under Meriones unguiculatus (Mongolian gerbil). RNAcentral describes it as "7SK RNA (ENSMUGG00000003288.1)". It matches the Rfam family "7SK RNA", at positions 60 to 331 of the family's 331-position model. From Rfam's summary of the family: 7SK was discovered as an abundant small nuclear RNA in the mid-70s but a possible function has only recently been suggested. Two independent studies have found that 7SK RNA binds the CDK9/cyclin T complex (known as elongation factor P-TEFb). P-TEFb activates transcription by phosphorylating the C-terminal domain of RNA polymerase II. The record is from RNAcentral. Lineage: Eukaryota; Metazoa; Chordata; Mammalia; Rodentia; Muridae.